GACGAACGCUGGCGGCGUGCUUAACACAUGCAAGUCGAACGGAAAGGCCCUGCUCUUGUGGGGUUCUCGAGUGGCGAACGGGUGAGUAACACGUGAGGAACCUGCCCUUGACUUUGGGAUAACUUCAGGAAACUGGGGCUAAUACCGGAUAGGAGCUCCUGCUGCAUGGUGUGGGUUGGAAAGUUUCGGCGGUUGUGGAUCGACUCGCGGCUUAUCAGCUUGUUGGUGGGGUAGUGGCUUACCAAGGCUUUGACGGGUAGCCGGCCUGAGAGGGUGACCGGCCACAUUGGGACUGAGAUACGGCCCAGACUCCUACGGGAGGCAGCAGUGGGGAAUAUUGCACAAUGGGCGGAAGCCUGAUGCAGCAACGCCGCGUGCGGGAUGACGGCCUUCGGGUUGUAAACCGCUUUCGCCGGUGACGAAGCGUGAGUGACGGUAAUGGGUAAAGAAGCACCGGCUAACUACGUG
Molecule: ribosomal RNA, 468 nt
Filed under: uncultured bacterium
Lineage: Bacteria
Description: partial 16S ribosomal RNA
Rfam family: Bacterial small subunit ribosomal RNA
Source: RNAcentral